AACGUAGGGUGCAAGCGUUGUCCGGAAUUAUUGGGCGUAAAGAGCUUGUAGGCGGUUUGUCGCGUCUGCUGUGAAAUUUCGGGGCUCAACCCCGAACUUGCAGUGGGUACGGGCAGACUAGAGUGUGGUAGGGGAGACUGGAAUUCCUGGUGUAGCGGUGAAAUGCGCAGAUAUCAGGAGGAACACCGAUGGCGAAGGCAGGUCUCUGGGCCGAUACUGACGCUGAGGAGCGAAAGCGUGGGGAGCGAACAGG
RNAcentral lists this ribosomal RNA (253 nucleotides) under uncultured bacterium. RNAcentral describes it as "partial 16S ribosomal RNA". It matches the Rfam family "Bacterial small subunit ribosomal RNA", at positions 524 to 776 of the family's 1533-position model. The record is from RNAcentral.